Molecule: small nucleolar RNA, 135 nt
Filed under: Neogobius melanostomus (round goby)
Lineage: Eukaryota; Metazoa; Chordata; Actinopteri; Gobiiformes; Gobiidae
Description: Small nucleolar RNA SNORA57 (ENSNMLG00000023678.1)
Rfam family: Small nucleolar RNA SNORA57
About the family: U99 belongs to the H/ACA class of snoRNAs which are thought to guide the sites of modification of uridines to pseudouridines, the target for this family is unknown.
Source: Rfam by way of RNAcentral
CCUCCUUUCUUGGCAUACCUGUGGUAAUCUGUGCACAAGUGUGUAUGUGAUGGAGGGAUAUAAUAAUCCAGUGCUAUGUCUUCGGUGUCAGUGUCUCACUCAUAUUCUGAUUCUAUCCUCAACACUGGGAUAUUU